UUCUGCUCAAUGAUAUAUUUAAUAGCCGCAGUACUCUGACUGUGCAAAGGUAGCAUAAUCAAUUGGCUUUUAAUUAAAGUCUAGCAUGAACGAAAUCAUGGGUAAUAGCUGUCUAAAUAUAGUUUUAGGAAUUUAAUAUGCAAGUGAAAAUACUUGCUUUUUAUAAAAGACGAGAAGACCCUAGAAACUUGUAAUAUAUUUUGUUGGGGCGACAGAAUUACAUAAAACUAAUUUUAAUUUACACGACGCUUAGUUGACAGAUUAAGUUACUCUAGGGAUAACAGCAUAAUUUUAAUAGUUUGUGACCUCGAUGUUGGACUAGGUACAGUACCCUUUAGAAGAGGGUUAAUAUGCUCUGUUCGAGCAGGACUACCUACGUGAUCUGAGUUCAGACCGGA
This 398-nucleotide ribosomal RNA is filed under the name Rossmaessleria scherzeri olcesei. RNAcentral's name for it is "Rossmaessleria olcesei partial 16S ribosomal RNA". It matches the Rfam family "Bacterial large subunit ribosomal RNA", at positions 1857 to 2620 of the family's 2925-position model. Lineage: Eukaryota; Metazoa; Mollusca; Gastropoda; Stylommatophora; Helicidae. The record is from RNAcentral.